RNAcentral lists this non-coding RNA (29 nucleotides) under Homo sapiens (human). Lineage: Eukaryota; Metazoa; Chordata; Mammalia; Primates; Hominidae. The record is from RNAcentral.
GUGGUCUGCACUCGGAUGAUGAUCUUGUG